GUGCCAGCAGCCGCGGUAAUACCGGCAGCACGAGUGAUGGCCGCUAUUAUUGGGCCUAAAGCGUCCGUCGCCGGCCGGGCAAGUCCGUCGGGAAAUCCAACCGCUUAACGGGUGGGCGACCGGCGGAAACUGUUCGGCUUGGGGCCGGAGGACCCGAGGGGUACGUCCGGGGUAGGAGUGAAAUCCUGUAAUCCUGGACGGACCGCCGGUGGCGAAAGCAUCUCGAGAAAACGGAUCCGACAGUGAGGGACGAAAGCUAGGGUCUCGAACCGGAUUAGAUACCCUAGUAGUCC
RNAcentral lists this ribosomal RNA (293 nucleotides) under uncultured bacterium. Its description in RNAcentral is "partial 16S ribosomal RNA". It matches the Rfam family "Archaeal small subunit ribosomal RNA", at positions 455 to 747 of the family's 1478-position model. The record is from RNAcentral.